AUUCCUACGGGAGGCAGCAGUAAGGAAUAUUGGACAAUGGGCGCAAGCCUGAUCCAGCCAUGCCGCGUGAAGGAUGAAGGCCCUAUGGGUCGUAAACUUCUUUUAUACGGGACAAAACCCCCCGAUGCGUCGGGGGUUGAUGGUACUGUAAGAAUAAGGGUCGGCUAACUUCGUGCCAGCAGCCGCGGUAAUACGAAGGACCCGAGCGUUAUCCGGAUUUAUUGGGUUUAAAGGGUGCGUAGGCGGAUUAGUAAGUCAGUGGUGAAAGCCCGUCGCUCAACGGCGGAACUGCCAUUGAUACUGCUAGUCUUGAGUAUGGUUGAGGUGGGCGGAAUGUGUCAUGUAGCGGUGAAAUGCUUAGAUAUGACCCAGAACACCAAUUGCGAAGGCAGCUCGCUAAGCCAUAACUGACGCUGAUGCACGAAAGCGUGGGGAGCAAACAGGAUUAGAUACCCUGGUAGUCCACGCCCUAAACUAUGAUCACUCGUUGUUGGCGAUACACAGUCAGCGACUAAGGGAAACCAUUAAGUGAUCCACCUGGGGAGUACGACCGCAAGGUUGAAACUCAAAGGAAUUGACGGGGGCCCGCGCAAGCGGAGGAGCAUGUGGUUUAAUUCGAUGAUACGCGAGGAACCUUACCUGGGCUUGAAAGUUAGUGACCGCUCCUGAAAGGGAGCCUUCCGCAAGGACACGAAACUAGGUGCUGCAUGGCUGUCGUCAGCUCGUGCCGUGAGGUGUUGGGUUAAGUCCCGUAACGAGCGCAACCCCUAUCAUUAGUUGCCAUCAGGUAAAGCUGGGGACUCUAAUGAGACUGCCCGCGCAAGCGGUGAGGAAGGUGGGGAUGACGUCAAGUCAUCACGGCCCUUACGUCCAGGGCUACACACGUGCUACAAUGGUAGAUACAGCAGGUUGCCACAUGGUAACAUGGAGCUAAUCCCAAAAGUCUAUCUCAGUUCGGAUUGAGGUCUGCAACUCGACCUCAUGAAGCUGGAUUCGCUAGUAAUCGGAAAUCAGCAAUGUUCCGGUGAAUACGUUCCCGGGCCUUGUACACACCGCC
RNAcentral lists this ribosomal RNA (1057 nucleotides) under uncultured Flexibacter sp. RNAcentral describes it as "bacterial SSU rRNA". It matches the Rfam family "Bacterial small subunit ribosomal RNA", at positions 335 to 1394 of the family's 1533-position model. The record is from RNAcentral. Lineage: Bacteria; Pseudomonadati; Bacteroidota; Cytophagia; Cytophagales; Flexibacteraceae.